AAGUCGUAACAAGGUUUCCGUAGGUGAACCUGCGGAAGGAUCAUUAGUGAGACGCGUAAUGCACGCGACAAAAUGCAUGGCGGCGAAAGCCUGCCGUGUAUUGACCAGUGUUUUGUUGAAAGAGAGAGAGAGAGUGAGAGGGGGAAGGAGUGAGAGCGCGCGGGGAAAGAGAAAGUGUAUAGAGUGAAGUUUGGCGGUCGUGUGCACUUACACAAUGUAAUGCUGUGUAUAAUGCCCCCGCCAACGCUCACACUUACAUCUCUCUCAUCCUACUCGUGCUCACACACCCACCCACCCACACUCACUCACUCGCCCACAUUAACCCCAAAUUGCACCGAACAAACGAAUAAUUCAUUAUAACCAUAAUACAACUGUUGGCAACGGAUCACUCGGCUCUC
This 398-nucleotide unclassified non-coding RNA is filed under the name fungal sp. RNAcentral's name for it is "partial internal transcribed spacer region". The stretch from base 1 to 46 matches the Rfam family "Eukaryotic small subunit ribosomal RNA", at positions 1786 to 1831 of the family's 1831-position model. Lineage: Eukaryota; Fungi. The record is from RNAcentral.